GUCUCGGUGGUCUAAUGGCUUAAGACGCUCGUAUGAAAUACAAGAGAUCCGGGUUCAAGAUCCGACUCAGAUA
RNAcentral lists this transfer RNA (73 nucleotides) under Acromyrmex echinatior (Panamanian leafcutter ant). It matches the Rfam family "tRNA". From Rfam's summary of the family: Transfer RNA (tRNA) molecules are approximately 80 nucleotides in length. The record is from Rfam by way of RNAcentral. Lineage: Eukaryota; Metazoa; Arthropoda; Insecta; Hymenoptera; Formicidae.